GCGGAAAGAGCUCGGUAAGGUUUGAGCAACAGAUUGUGAAUCUGAAGGUCAAGGGUUCAAAUCCCUUUUUUCGCC
RNAcentral lists this transfer RNA (75 nucleotides) under Eucheuma denticulatum. RNAcentral's name for it is "tRNA-His". It matches the Rfam family "tRNA". Rfam says of the family: Transfer RNA (tRNA) molecules are approximately 80 nucleotides in length. Their secondary structure includes four short double-helical elements and three loops (D, anti-codon, and T loops). Further hydrogen bonds mediate the characteristic L-shaped molecular structure. tRNAs have two regions of fundamental functional importance: the anti-codon, which is responsible for specific mRNA codon recognition, and the 3' end, to which the tRNAs corresponding amino acid is attached (by aminoacyl-tRNA synthetases). tRNAs cope with the degeneracy of the genetic code in two manners: having more than one tRNA (with a specific anti-codon) for a particular amino acid; and 'wobble' base-pairing, i.e. permitting non-standard base-pairing at the 3rd anti-codon position. The record is from RNAcentral. Lineage: Eukaryota; Rhodophyta; Florideophyceae; Gigartinales; Solieriaceae.